GGAUCUUCGCUUUCUUCUCGUUGAGGACCAAAACAAAGCGAGAGUAGAGCUCCGCCUCCCAGGGCCUCCUUCCCUCCGGCGUAACGCUCCAGUCUUCAAGCCGCACUCAGGUUUCCAUUCGCCAACGGCUGCCAUGGCAACGCGUUGGCAGGGCUGACCCCAGUUCACUCGGUGCGCUCAUGAUCAGAGGUUUAAAGCCUGUAAACACUCAUCUUUCUACUUCACAUCCAAAGACAAGCGGAUGGUUCGGUCACUCACAGAGAUGUCCUUCU
Molecule: long non-coding RNA, 272 nt
Organism: Gasterosteus aculeatus aculeatus (three-spined stickleback)
Lineage: Eukaryota; Metazoa; Chordata; Actinopteri; Perciformes; Gasterosteidae
Source: Ensembl